RNAcentral lists this ribosomal RNA (495 nucleotides) under uncultured bacterium. RNAcentral's name for it is "bacterial SSU rRNA". It matches the Rfam family "Bacterial small subunit ribosomal RNA", at positions 29 to 507 of the family's 1533-position model. The record is from RNAcentral.
UUGAACGCUGGCGGCAGGCCUAACACAUGCAAGUCGAGCGGCAGCGGGAAAGUAGCUUGCUACUUUUGCCGGCGAGCGGCGGACGGGUGAGUAAUGCCUGGGAAAUUGCCCAGUCGAGGGGGAUAACAGUUGGAAACGACUGCUAAUACCGCAUACGCCCUACGGGGGGGGAAAGCAGGGGGACCUUCGGGCCUUGCGCGAUCGGAUAUGCCCAGGUGGGAUUAGCUAGUUGGUGAGGUAAUGGCUCACCAAGGCGACGAUCCCUAGCUGGUCGGAGAGGAUGAUCAGCCACACUGGAACUGAGACACGGUCCAGACUCCUACGGGAGGCAGCAGUGGGGAAUAUUGCACAAUGGGGGAAACCCUGAUGCAGCCAUGCCGCGUGUGUGAAGAAGGCCUUCGGGUUGUAAAGCACUUUCAGCGAGGAGGAAAGGUCAGUAGCUAAUAUCUGCUGGCUGUGACGUUACUCGCAGAAGAAGCACCGGCUAACUCCGUG